GAUAAAACCAACUUUGAAAUAUUUUCCAUAAUUGUUAUUAUGAUUGAAUGCGAUAAAUGUUUAUUUACGAAGCCAUGAAAGGUAUUUGAAUUUCAUGACUAUUUUCAAGUAUACAUUUGGAGACUAGAUUUCUUAAAGAAAUUUAUGCUAGCACGUAGAUAUUAAAUGUUUGGAAAGUAUUUAAACCACAAUAUUUUAAGCAAAGCAUGAAUUAGUAUGAAGUUUUGUUUUAAGAACUACAAUUUUCCACGAAAGAGCUGAGUAAAGUUCGAGCUUUGUGUAAAAUUUAUAAGCAGGCAUGUUUUAAUAUUUUAUGAUGAUUUAUGAAAUUUUCAUUAACUACAUGACUGAGAUCUUGAGCCUGAGGCUAGAGAUUACCGUGUGCACACUGGUUAGAUUUCGUUGUUGACGUUGAGUGUACUCCGUAACAACGAUGCUGUCGUGAGUGCUGGGCGGGCCCCACUACGACAAAGACGAUGGGAGUGCUGGGCGGGCCCCACUACAUCGUAGUGCUUGUAAACGUUGUUGUACUAGGUGUACCCUACACAACGUAGAUUCGUCAUGUUAGUUAAAAUGCUUCGAUAUACUUGAUAUGCCUUGCUAGAUUUCAAUGAUGAACAUGCUGAGUAUUUAAGGAAGUUAUUCUUACUAUUACACAUUUACAUUUACGACUUGUAUAAACAGAUUUAUAUGUGUAAAGUUUUCACGUGCUCUUAUCUUUAAAUUCAUAGUUUUAAACUGAGUCACUCACUGAGCUCCAUAGCUCACCCUUUCCAAAAUGUUUUACCCAUUUUCCAGGUAGAGAUCGACUUCCCGGUGCCUGAUAGACUGCCUUAGUCUGCGGAAGCUUCAUUAUCGAUUGCCAGUACGUGUUUUGAGUUGGGCAUAAAGUCUGUUGUGUUGUGAUGUAUUCACACCCUUGUAUGUUAUAGAUACUCCACAGUUUGUAUAAGCUUUAGGAGCUGUAGUUGUGUAAAUUUUGUUGGUUAUAUUUUGAUUAAGGUGUCUUUAGGUUUACUCGUGAAAUUGGUAAAUUUUGAGGUACACUUCAUGUAUGUGUUUGACUAGCUGUGUUUGAUUAUCCUAGGAUCCGAUGUGUUUUGUGGCAUGUACAAUAGUUUAUAUACUAGAUUGGCAAGUUCAUCACAUGAAA
Molecule: long non-coding RNA, 1153 nt
Organism: Cucumis melo (muskmelon)
Lineage: Eukaryota; Viridiplantae; Streptophyta; Magnoliopsida; Cucurbitales; Cucurbitaceae
Exons: 2
Source: RefSeq, a predicted model, not a curated record